RNAcentral lists this ribosomal RNA (389 nucleotides) under uncultured bacterium. RNAcentral describes it as "bacterial SSU rRNA". It matches the Rfam family "Bacterial small subunit ribosomal RNA", at positions 29 to 418 of the family's 1533-position model. The record is from RNAcentral.
AUUGAACGCUGGCGGCAUGCCUUACACAUGCAAGUCGAACGGCAGCGCGGGAGCAAUCCUGGCGGCGAGUGGCGAACGGGUGAGUAAUAUAUCGGAACGUGCCCAGUAGUGGGGGAUAGCCCGGCGAAAGCCGGAUUAAUACCGCAUGAGACCUGAGGGUGAAAGCGGGGGAGUCGCAAGACCUCGCGCUAUUGGAGCGGCCGAUAUCAGAUUAGCUAGUUGGUGAGGUAAAGGCCUACCAAGGCAACGAUCUGUAGUUGGUCUGAGAGGACGACCAGCCACACUGGGACUGAGACACGGCCCAGACUCCUACGGGAGGCAGCAGUGGGGAAUUUUGGACAAUGGGCGCAAGCCUGAUCCAGCAAUGCCGCGUGCAGGAAGAAGGCCUC